UCCCCCUUAGCUCAGUGGUAGAGCGCGUCACUAGUAUUUCAAGACGAAAUGACGAGGUCAGUCGUUCAAGUCGGCUAGGGGGAA
Molecule: transfer RNA, 84 nt
Filed under: Clavulina sp. PMI_390
Lineage: Eukaryota; Fungi; Basidiomycota; Agaricomycetes; Cantharellales; Hydnaceae
Rfam family: tRNA
About the family: Transfer RNA (tRNA) molecules are approximately 80 nucleotides in length. Their secondary structure includes four short double-helical elements and three loops (D, anti-codon, and T loops).
Source: Rfam by way of RNAcentral